GACGAACGCUGGCGGCGUGCCUAAUGCAUGCAAGUCGCACGGAGAGCCUUCGGGCUCUGAGUGGCGCACGGCUGAGGAACACGUGGGAAUCUGCCUGACCGUGGGGGAUAACGCGCCGAAAGGCGUGCUAAUCCCGCAUACGCUCGCAAGAGGAAAGCAGCAAUGCGCGGUCGGAGGAGCCUGCGGCCCAUCAGGUAGUUGGCGGGGUAACGGCCCACCAAGCCACUGACGGGUAGCUGGUCUGUGAGGACAACCAGCCAGACUGGGACUGAGACACGGCCCAGACUCCUACGGGAGGCAGCAGCAAGGAAUUUUCGUCAAUGGGCGCAAGCCUGAACGAGCAACGCCGCGUGGAGGAUGAC
This 362-nucleotide ribosomal RNA is filed under the name uncultured bacterium. RNAcentral's name for it is "bacterial SSU rRNA". It matches the Rfam family "Bacterial small subunit ribosomal RNA", at positions 28 to 412 of the family's 1533-position model. The record is from RNAcentral.